UGGCCAAGAAUGUUUAUUUGUAGUUUGGAUUCUUUGUGGAUGUCAGUUGUUUGUUCAUAUAAUGAUGAUGGGCCCUAUUAUUAUAUGAGCCCACCUGAAGGUGGUCAACUGAUACUCACAGAAGAUCUACUCUGCACUAAACAUUCUUUAUGUGAUGAUAUAACUGGGGUAUUGAAGUGGUCCCUUUCCCUUUGCUGGAAGUUGCGUAUAUAAAGGAAUGAAGUAGCUACAAAAGAAGAUAGAAAAAGUUUGGUUAUAGCCGACAUCAUCAAUAGAAAAGGCAACUUUUCAAACGAAGUUUGUGGAGUGGGGUCAUCCUCCAGUUGGAUGUUGCUCUCUAACUUUACCUCAUUUAUAUGGUCGUUCACAGGUGAAUUUCCUUUAAAUCAGGCCUUGUCUGUUAUUCUAUGCAGCACGAAACUCGACUGCUACAUGGCAAAGGAACGCGGAAUUGUCGCAGAAAUUUUAUCUUUCAAACAUUUGGAGGAGGAACUCAAUUAACGUAUGCUGAGAUUUUCACUAGUUUCUAGACAGUGCCUGCGAGACACAAAGACGUUGAUGGUCAGCAGUAAUAUGAAGAACUUGAGUUUAAAAAUCACGAGGAAUGCGAUUUGUUUCAAAAGUACAUCAGCAACGAUGAUAUUGUGGAUUGCAUCGUAAGUUGAUGGUGGACGAGCUUACAGGAAUGACUUACCAUCCAGGUAUACUUGCGAUCAGACUUAUGGCUCGUGCUAAUAUUUAUUGUACAAAUAGGAUAGUGUGUCCCAAUGAUCCGUUUGUAACCGUUACGCAGCGGAAAUUGUAUUCCUAAUGAUCCGUUUGUAACCUUUACGCAGCGGAAUUUGUAGCGUUGUUUGUGUAAAUCAUUCGUAACUUGAGUUGAAUAACAAAACAUAUUCGUUCAUUUAACCACGAUUUUUAAAAUCUUUACUUUGGAGGAAAAAAUUGCGUUUUAAAUCAAGUUCCAAAACAUAGAAAAAAAAAUUUAGCUGGAAAAUUUCGAACACUCGUUCUGUAUCGUCGAAGUCAUUGAGACUUCAGUGUUUACUGCUGGCGUAACGGACUUCUUAGUCGCAAUAACCUUAUUUUCUUGCGCAUUUGUUGAAAAAUGAUGCAGUUGUUUAAAAAUAAGUGUAAUUAAUUAACGUAUUGUCACGUGACAUCAAGUAGAUAUUUUCCCAAGUGCUUUUGUACGCUUAACACUUUGGUGUAAAUGGUUUUUAUCAAACUGAAUAAAAUACACAGAAAGAAAA
Molecule: long non-coding RNA, 1253 nt
Organism: Xenia sp. Carnegie-2017
Lineage: Eukaryota; Metazoa; Cnidaria; Anthozoa; Malacalcyonacea; Xeniidae
Exons: 4
Source: RefSeq, a predicted model, not a curated record